AAGUUGCAGGGUAUAGACCCGAAACCCGGUGAUCUAGCCAUGGGCAGGUUGAAGGUUGGGUAACACUAACUGGAGGACCGAACCGACUAAUGUUGAAAAAUUAGCGGAUGACCUGUGGCUGGGGGUGAAAGGCCAAUCAAACCGGGAGAUAGCUGGUUCUCCCCGAAAGCUAUUUAGGUAGCGCCUCGUGAAUUCAUCUCCGGGGGUAGAGCACUGUUUCGGCUAGGGGGCCAUCCCGGCUUACCAACCCGAUGCAAACUGCGAAUACCGGAGAAUGUUAUCACGGGAGACACACGGCGGGUGCUAACGUCCGUCGUGAAGAGGGAAACAACCCAGACCGCCAGCUAAGGUCCCAAAGUCAUGGUUAAGUGGGAAACGAUGUGGGAAGGCCCAGACAGCCAGGAUGUUGGCUUAGAAGCAGCCAUCAUUUAAAGAAAGCGUAAUAGCUCACUGGUCGAGUCGGCCUGCGCGGAAGAUGUAACGGGGCUAAACCAUGCACCGAAGCUGCGGCAGCGACACUGUGUGUUGUUGGGUAGGGGAGCGUUCUGUAAGCCUGCGAAGGUGGCCUGUGAGGGUUGCUGGAGGUAUCAGAAGUGCGAAUGCUGACAUAAGUAACGAUAAAGCGGGUGAAAAGCCCGCUCGCCGGAAGACCAAGGGUUCCUGUCCAACGUUAAUCGGGGCAGGGUGAGUCGACCCCUAAGGCGAGGCCGAAAGGCGUAGUCGAUGGGAAACGGGUUAAUAUUCCCGUACUUGGUGUUACUGCGAAGGGGGGACGGAGAAGGCUAUGUUGGCCGGGCGACGGUUGUCCCGGUUUAAGCGUGUAGGUGUGUGUUCCAGGUAAAUCCGGUUCACUUUAACACUGAGGCGUGACGACGAGGCACUACGGUGCUGAAGCAACAAAUGCCCUGCUUCCAGGAAAAGCCUCUAAGCAUCAGGUAACAUCAAAUCGUACCCCAAACCGACACAGGUGGUCAGGUAGAGAAUACCAAGGCGCUUGAGAGAACUCGGGUGAAGGAACUAGGCAAAAUGGUGCCGUAACUUCGGGAGAAGGCACGCUGACACGUAGGUGAAGUGAUUUACUCAUGGAGCUGAAGUCAGUCGAAGAUACCAGCUGGCUGCAACUGUUUAUUAAAAACACAGCACUGUGCAAACACGAAAGUGGACGUAUACGGUGUGACGCCUGCCCGGUGCCGGAAGGUUAAUUGAUGGGGUCAGCGCAAGCGAAGCUCCUGAUCGAAGCCCCGGUAAACGGCGGCCGUAACUAUAACGGUCCUAAGGUAGCGAAAUUCCUUGUCGGGUAAGUUCCGACCUGCACGAAUGGCGUAAUGAUGGCCAGGCUGUCUCCACCCGAGACUCAGUGAAAUUGAACUCGCUGUGAAGAUGCAGUGUACCCGCGGCAAGACGGAAAGACCCCGUGAACCUUUACUAUAGCUUGACACUGAACAUUGAGCCUUGAUGUGUAGGAUAGGUGGGAGGCUUUGAAGUGUGGACGCCAGUCUGCAUGGAGCCGACCUUGAAAUACCACCCUUUAAUGUUUGAUGUUCUAACGUGGACCCGUUACCCGGGUUGCGGACAGUGUCUGGUGGGUAGUUUGACUGGGGCGGUCUCCUCCUAAAGAGUAACGGAGGAGCACGAAGGUUGGCUAAUCCUGGUCGGACAUCAGGAGGUUAGUGCAAUGGCAUAAGCCAGCUUGACUGCGAGCGUGACGGCGCGAGCAGGUGCGAAAGCAGGUCAUAGUGAUCCGGUGGUUCUGAAUGGAAGGGCCAUCGCUCAACGGAUAAAAGGUACUCCGGGGAUAACAGGCUGAUACCGCCCAAGAGUUCAUAUCGACGGCGGUGUUUGGCACCUCGAUGUCGGCUCAUCACAUCCUGGGGCUGAAGUAGGUCCCAAGGGUAUGGCUGUUCGCCAUUUAAAGUGGUACGCGAGCUGGGUUUAGAACGUCGUGAGACAGUUCGGUCCCUAUCUGCCGUGGGCGCUGGAGAACUGAGGGGGGCUGCUCCUAGUACGAGAGGACCGGAGUGGACGCAUCACUGGUGUUCGGGUUGUCAUGCCAAUGGCACUGCCCGGUAGCUAAAUGCGGAAGAGAUAAGUGCUGAAAGCAUCUAAGCACGAAACUUGCCCCGAG
Molecule: ribosomal RNA, 2125 nt
Filed under: Salmonella enterica subsp. enterica
Lineage: Bacteria; Pseudomonadati; Pseudomonadota; Gammaproteobacteria; Enterobacterales; Enterobacteriaceae
Description: partial 23S ribosomal RNA
Rfam family: Bacterial large subunit ribosomal RNA
Source: RNAcentral